GCUGGGCGCAGUGGCCCACGCCUGUCAUCCCAGCAGCUCAGGAGGCUGAGGCAGGAGGAUCAUGAGUUCCAAGCCAGCCUCAGCAAAAGUGAGGCAAUAAGCAACUUGGUGAGACCCUGUUUCUA
RNAcentral lists this small RNA (125 nucleotides) under Marmota monax (woodchuck). Lineage: Eukaryota; Metazoa; Chordata; Mammalia; Rodentia; Sciuridae. The record is from RNAcentral.